This 37-nucleotide ribosomal RNA is filed under the name Sabal gretherae. Its description in RNAcentral is "partial 18S ribosomal RNA gene". Lineage: Eukaryota; Viridiplantae; Streptophyta; Magnoliopsida; Arecales; Arecaceae. The record is from RNAcentral.
CAAGGUUUCUGUAGGUGAACCUAUGGAAGGAUCAUUG